Mytilus californianus (California mussel) is the source of this 6894-nucleotide long non-coding RNA. RefSeq lists it as uncharacterized. The transcript is spliced from 3 exons. The record is from RefSeq and is a predicted model, not a curated record. NCBI's taxonomy places the organism in Eukaryota, Metazoa, Mollusca, Bivalvia, Mytilida, Mytilidae.
AUUUAAAAGUUUUAUAACAUUUUUGAAGAUAUAAAGACCAGGUUUUAGAUUCACAAAAACUUGAUCAUAAUUCAUGAAGAUUUCAGUAUAGGUACAAUCAAUUGUAGUCAUAAGAUAUUUUGUGAACACACACUUUUUAGGUCACUUAUAUAUAUCUUGAAAUCAAUUUUAAACAUCUAAAUGGACAAAAAUGCUCAGACUAUCAAAAUCUACCUACUUUUCCAUUCCACCAAAUUAUUAAAUAACUCCUUAUAAUUUAGGAAUUAUUGUUAAUAAAUAAUGAAUUUUGUCUUGUCUAGAUGAAGUUACAGAAUACAACAUAAGAAUACUAAUUUGGAUGGUGUCUGUGUAAUAUAUUUGUAUAAAGCUUUAUAUUUCUAAAGUGAGAAGUGAGAAGUCAUUUAUAUCUCAUACCUUGUAUGCAGAUGCCUGGUGUUUCUGAAGUUUCUGUCUGGCAUAUGUUCUUUGUCCUUACCCAUAUUUCAAUUGUUCAUCCACUGCUUAAAAAACUGUGCAGUGUUUUUUAUCACAUGAUUUUAUCUCUUGGUAAUGAGUAAUAGGAUAGCUAUAUUCAGUAUAUUGAAUCAUUGUGUGGUUUACAUAUCCCACAGACAGAGUUCACCUGACCUUGAUCUCAAUCAAAGUCGUGACACACAGUUCCACAGAACUUUUCAGAAACUGUUUGGACUAUGUUCUUUCUUUGUCCCAAUCUUAUGAUGUUUUAUAUAUCCCAACUGGUUCACUUAGCCCAUGUUUGUAUUGAUCUUAUAAAUAUUUCAAUCAACAUAAUCUUUGUAUCACAUAUGCAUCACUGUGAUUUGAUUUGGAAGUUUGGCUGUACAGGAGAAAACUUAUUUCAAACAGGAUAUCACAUCCUAAAUUUUACGGUGAUGUUGUUUAUAGAGCCUGUAAAUUUAGAUGAGAUCUGUGUAAACUUUUCAAUCCUUUAAAUAGACUUAUUUUUAAAAGGUUAUCAAUUUAACACUGUAAUAUGAAUUUUGAAUAGUUUUUAUUGUUACAAAGAUUGAUUUUAUUAUCUAUAAUUUAAAAAGUAAUUAGAUAUUGUAAACCGUUAUGAAAAUUUACAGUCCUACAUUCUAUCAAUACUUUUAUUUUGGCAGUGACCAAGAUCAUGUUUUUCUCUGUCUGUUAUGACAUAUUCAUCCUAAAUCCAUUUGAUGUGUACUGAUUGAUAUUCAAGUCUUGGAUAUAUGAUUUUAUUGUCUCACCUGCGACAAAAGUCGCAGUAUGCAAGACAUAGGUAUUACUACCCUGCGACGGCUGCGGUGUAAACUAUUUGUAUAAAGCUUUAUAUUUCAGAAGGUAGAAGACCUGUAUGCUUCAUAUUUUGUAUGCAGAUACCUUAUGUUACAAGGUUUCUGUCAAUCAUAUGUCCAUUGUCCUUGACCUCAUUUUCAUGGUUCAGCGACUGCUUGUAAAAAAAAAUUGAGUUUUUUUGUCAUGUGAAUUUCUCACUUAUUAUGAGUAAUAGGAUAACUAUAUUUGGUAUAUGGGUUCCUUGCAACUGCUACAUGUCCGUCAGACAGAGUUCACCUGACCUCGACCUCAUUUUCAUGGAUCAGUGAUCAAGGUUAAAGUUACGUGAUUAGGUCUGUUUCUCAAAUACUAUAAGCUGUAGGUUAGCUAUAUUUGGUGUAUGGAAUGAUUGUAAUGGGUACAUGUCAGUCUGGCAGGUUUCACCUUACCUUGACCUCAUUUUCAUGGUUCAUUGGUGGUCAAUGUUAAGUUUUUGUGUUUUGAUCUGUUUUUCAAGUACUAUAAGCAAUAGGUCAAAUUUAUCUGGUGUAUGGAAUGAUUGUAAGGUGUACAUGCCUGUCUGGAAGGUAUCAUCUGACCUUGACCUCAUUUUUAUGGUUCAAUGGUCAAUGUUAAGUUUUCGUGUUUCGGUCUGUAUUUCAAAUACUAAUAGCAAUAGGUCAGCUAUAUUUGGUGUAUGGAAUAUUUAUAACUUGUAAGGAGCACAUGUCUGUCUGGCAGGUAUCAUCUGACCUUGACCUCAUAUUUAUGGUUCAUUGGAUAAUGUUAUGUUUUUAUACGACCGCAAAAAAAUUCUUCGUCGUCCGAAGACACAUUGGUUUUCGCACUCUAACUUUUGUUUAAGUGAAUGGAUCUCUAUGAAAUUUUACCAUAAGGUUCAAUACCACAAAAGGAAGGUGGGGAUUGAUUUUGGGGGUUAUGGUACCAACAGUUAAGGAAUUAGGGGCCAAAAAUAAGCAUAUUAGUAACUUCGAGACAUAACUUGUGUGUUAGUGUAUGGAUCUCUCUGACAUUGUACCACAAGGUUCCAUAUCACAAAGGGAAUGUGGGAUUGAUUUUGGGGGUAAUUGCCUCCAAAUUUUAGGAAUUAGGGGCCAAAAUGGGGCAAAAAACAAGCAUUUUUCUAGUUUCAUGACAAUAACUUGUGUGUAAGUGUAUGGAUCUCUCUGACAUUGUACCACAAGGUUCCAUAUCACAAAGGGAAUGCUGGAAUUGAGUUUGGGGGUAAUUGCCCAAAAUGUUUAAGAAUAAGGGGCCAAAAAUAAGCAUUUUUCUAGUUUCCAGACAAUAACUUGUGUUCAAGUGUAUGGAUCUCUCUGAAAUUGUACUGCAAGGUACCAUACCACAAAGGGAAGGCUGGGAUUGAUUUUGGGGGUAAUUCCCUCAAAAUUUGAGUAAUUAGGGGCCAUAAAGGGGCAAAAAAACAAGCAUUUUUCUAGUUUCAGGACAAUAACUUGUGUGUAAGUGUAUGGAUCUCUAUGAAAUUGUACUGCAAGGUUCCAUAUCACAAAGGGAAAGCUGGGUUUGAGUUUGGGGGUAAUUGCCCUAAACGUUUAGGAAUUUGGGGCCAAAAAGGGGCCAAAAAAAAAGCAUUUUUCUAGUUUCCAGACAAUAACUUGUGUUCAAGUGUAUGGAUCUCACUGAAAUUGUACUGCAAGGUACCAUACCACAAAGGGAAGGCUGGGAUUGAGUUUUGGGGUGAUGAAUCAUAAGGGGUUCAAAAAAUUUGGGGGGGGGAUUUUUUUUCCUUUGUUUUCUCUAAAAUUUUCCCAUUUUAAAUUGGUUAUUUCUGAUUUAUAUAUAAGAGCAAAUAAUAAUGAUAUGGUUUGAAUAGGUAAAUUAAAAAAAUUUAAGUUCUUAGACCACAUUCAUUCUGUGUCAGAAACCUAUGCUGUGUCAAAUAUUUAAUUACAAUCCAAAUUCAGUGCUGUAUCAAGCUUGAAUGUUGUGUCCAUACUUGCCCCAACUGUUCAGGGUUCGACCUCUGCGGUCGUAUCAAGCUGCGCCCCAGUGGAGCAUUUUAUUGUGUUUUGGUCUGUUUUUCAAUUAGCUUACACAAUAGGUGAACUAUAUUUGGUGUAUAAAAAAGUUGUAAGGUGUGUAUGUCUGUCUGACACAAUUUAUCUGAAAUAGACCUCAUUGUCAUAGAUUUUUCAAAAUUUCAAGUUUCUGAAAUGCUUUUAGUAAAACCUUUAUCUUUAAGACUUUCAACAUAAAAUCAAUUGUCAGUAAAGCAGGCAAGACAUUUCAGGGUAUGCACUCUUGUUAUAAGUUAUUAUGGGAUUUACCUUUCAAUAACUGCAAGUACUCUCAAGUCAGCACUGGUAUGACGUUCGCGUCGUCGUCGUUGUCCGAAGACACAUUGGUUUUCGCACUCUAACUUUAGUUUAAGUGAAUGGAUCUUUUUGAAAUUUGACCAUAAGGUUAAAUACCACAAAAGGAAGGUUGGGAUUGAUUUUGGGGGUUAUGGUACCAACAGUUAAGGAAUUAGGGGCCAAAAAGGGGCCAAAAAUAAGCAUUUUCUAGUUUCCAGACAAUAACUGUGGAAUGGUGUAUGGAUCUCUCUGAAAUUAUACUACAAGUUUCCAUACCACAAAGGGAUGGUUAGGAUUUGCUUUGGGGGGUUAUGGCUCAAACCGUUUAGGAAUUAGGGGCAAAAAAGGGGGAAAAACAGGGUUGUCCUGGUUAAUGGACAAAUACUUUAGUACAAAACAUAAUUUAAAGCAGUGUAAGGGAGAUAAAUCAAAUACAUCAUUGAAAUUAUCUCCCUUACACUGCUUUUAAAUUAUGUAUAAAGUAAUGGUUAAUGAACAAUAAAGAUAAUUUAAAACAGUGUAAGGGAGGUAAUCCAAAUACAACGUUUUGGUUACUUCCCUUACACUGCUUUUAAAUUAUGUUUAAAGAAAUGCAUAUUUAUAAAGGAAGACCAGUAAAAAUAUCUGCAAAUGUUGCAUCUUUUUUUUUUACAAAAAAAUCCAUAUGAAAGAUUUGACACUUUAUUUUUAAUUCUAUUAUAAAAUAGAUUAAGUUAGCACUAUGGUAAAUUUAAAUGGGUAAUUAUGGUUGCCAACUCCAUUGGAAAUUUGAAUUGAGAUUAUGACCAUAUCUUGAGGGAAAGAACUUUUUUGGGGAAAAAAGGGGGGGAGAUAAAAAGAAAUUGUGGGGGGUCAAUUUUUUCUCAUUUCAGAUUUCAGAAAUUAAAAAGAAUUAUUCUUCAAAAAAUUUUUUUUUUCAAAUUUCAAAUAUUGAAAAAUUUCAAGAAGUCUUUAAUUGCACAGUAUGGCGCAUUAGAUUUGUAAAAUCUUUGAUCACAUUUAUUUAUUUGUUAUGCCGAAUCUAACAGUGUAUUAAGAUUUUUAAUUUUGGGUCCAGAUUUCAAAUUGGUCUACAUUAAGGUCCAAAGGGUCCAAAAUUAAACUUUGUUUGACUUUAGCAAAAAUUGAAUAUAUGAGGUUCUUUGAUAUGCUGAAUCUAAACAUGUAUUUAGAUUUUUGAUUUUUGGCCCAGUUUUCAAGUUGGUCCAAAUUGGGGUCCAAAAUUAAACUUUGUUUGAUUUCAACAAAAAUUGAAUAUAUGGGGUUCUUUGAUAUGCUGAAUCUAACCAUGUAUUUAGAUUUUUUAUUUGUGGACCCCGUUAUCAAAUUGGUUCAUAUUGAGGUCAAAAGGGUCCAAAAUUAAACUUUGUUUGAUUUCAUCAAAAAUUGAAUUAUUGGGGUUCUUUGAUAUUCCAAAUCUAACCGUGUAUUUAGAUUUUUAAUUUUGGGUCCUGUUUUUUAAAUUGGUCUACAUUAAGGUCCAAAGGGUCCAAAAUUAAACUUAGUUUGAUUUUAACAAAAAUUGAAUUCUUGGGGUUCUUUGAUAUGCUGAAUCUAAACAUGUGUUUAGAUUUUUGAUUAUGGGCCCAGUUUUCAAGUUUGUCCAAGUUGGGGUCCAAAAUUAAACUUUUUUUGAUUUCAACAAAAAUUGAAUAUAUGGGGUUCUUUGAUAUGCUGAAUCUAACCAUGAAUUUAGAUUUUUUAUUUGUGGGCCCCGCUAUGAAAUGGGUUCAUAUUGAGGUCAAAAGGGUCCAAAAUUAAACUUUGUUUGAUUUCAUCAAAAAUUGAAUUAUUGGGGUUCUUUGAUAUUCCAAAUCUAACCGUGUAUUUAGAUUUUUAAUUUUAAGUCCCGUUUUUUUAAAUUGGUCUACAUUAAGGUCCAAAGGGUCCAAAAUUAAACUUAGUUUGAUUUUAGCAAAAAUUGAAUUCUUGGGGUUCUUUGAUAUGCUGAAUCUAAACAUGUGUUUAGAUUUUUGAUUAUGGGCCCAGUUUUCAAGUUUGUCCAAGUUGGGGUCCAAAAUUAAACUUUGUUUGAUUUUAACAAAAAUUGAAUAUUGAUAUGCUGAAUCUAACCAUGUAUUUUGAUUUUUUGGACAUUGGACCAUAAUAGGUAAAUUAAAAAAAUUUAAGUUCUUAGACCACAUUCUUUCUGUGUCAGAAACCUAUGCUGUGUCAAAUAUUUAAUAAUCCAAAUUCAGAGCUGUAUCAAGCUUGAAUGUUGUGUCCAUAUUUGCCCCAACUGUUCAGGAUUCGACCUCUGCGGUCGUAUCAAGCUGCGCCCCAGCGAAGCAUUUUAUUGUUAGUUGUUUUUUGUGUGCUUUGUCUCUAUCUGAUGAAUCAAGCCUUUUUCAACUGAGUUUAAUAAAUAAGUCAACAUGACUGAAAUGGUCUAUUGAUUGUUUAUAGGUAAUAUUGCCCUAGAAGGCUGAUUUUUACUCUUUUUUGGCUUAUUUUACAGAACUUGGUCUUCCAUCACUGUUUUGGAUACCUAAACUACAUAAGUGUCCUUACAAACAACAUUAUAUUGCUGGGUCUUCUAAGUGCUCCACAAAACCUCUUUCUAAAUUACUUACAUCAAUUUUAUCAGCAAUCAAAGCCGGGCUUCAAAGUUAUUAUGAAAAUACCUAUUCUAGUGGUUGCGUGAAUCAGAUGUGGAUACUAAAAAAUUCCAAAGAUCUUUUAGAGUACAUACAAUCUAAGACUCUUUCAUCUUGCAAUAGUAUUAAAACAUUUGACUUUUCUACACUUUACACAAGUAUUUCCCAUUCCAAACUAAAAGACAAAUUGAAAGAGUUGGUCCUGCUUUGUUUCAUAAAAAAGAAUGGCCAACGUAGAUACAAAUAUCUUGUCUUAGGGUGAUUCAAACAAAAAAUUCUCUGAAAUUGACAUCAAGAUGCUUGAUUUCUUGAUUGACAACAUAUUUGUUACGUUUGGAGGACAUAUUUUUCAACAAACAAUCGGCAUUCCCAUGGGAACCAACUGUGCCCCUCUUCUUGCUGACUUGUUCCUUUAUUUAUAUGAGGCUGACUUCAUACAGGAACUUCUUAGGAAGAAAGAAAAGAAGUUAGCAGUAUCCUUUUACUUUACUUUCUGCUAUAUAGAUGAUGUUCUCUCACUAAAUAAUUCAAAAUUUGGUGACUAUGUUGAACGCAUCUAUCCCAUCAAACUUGAGAUAAAGGAUACAACAGAUACAGUUAAGUCUUCCUCAUGACUUGACUUGCAUCUAGAAUUGACAAAAAGGGUCGGUUGAAAACAAAACUUUACGACAAAAGAGAUGAUUUCAGCUUCCCAAUUGUGAACU